AUACGUAGGGGGCGAGCGUUGUCCGGAAUGAUUGGGCGUAAAGGGCGCGUAGGCGGCUUUGCAAGUCAGUAGUGGAAGUCCAUUUUUCAAGGAUGGAAGUGCUACAGAAACUGCGGAGCUUGAGUGCAGGAGAGGUUAUCGGAAUUCCCGGUGAAGCGGUGAACUGCGUAGAGAUCGGGAGGAACACCAGUGGCGAAGGCGGGUAACUGGACUGCAACUGACGCUGAGGCGCGAAAGUGUGGGGAGCAAACAGGAUUAGAUACCCUGGUAGUCCACACUGUAAACGAUGAAUGCUAGGUGUAGGAGGUAUCGACCCCUUCUGUGCCGCAGUAAACACAGUAAGCAUUCCGCCUGGGGAGUACGGUCGCAAGAUUAAAACUCAAAUGAAUUGACGGGG
This 397-nucleotide ribosomal RNA is filed under the name uncultured bacterium. RNAcentral's name for it is "partial 16S ribosomal RNA". It matches the Rfam family "Bacterial small subunit ribosomal RNA", at positions 523 to 918 of the family's 1533-position model. The record is from RNAcentral.